RNAcentral lists this ribosomal RNA (440 nucleotides) under uncultured bacterium. RNAcentral's name for it is "partial 16S ribosomal RNA". It matches the Rfam family "Bacterial small subunit ribosomal RNA", at positions 338 to 795 of the family's 1533-position model. The record is from RNAcentral.
CCUACGGGAGGCAGCAGUGGGGAAUAUUGCACAAUGGGGGAAACCCUGAUGCAGCGACGCCGCGUGAGUGAAGAGGUAUUUCGGUACGUAAAGCUCUAUCAGCAGGGAAGCAAAUGACGGUACCUGACUAAGAAGCCCCGGCUAACUACGUGCCAGCAGCCGCGGUAAUACGUAGGGGGCAAGCGUUAUCCGGAUUUACUGGGUGUAAAGGGAGCGUAGACGGCAGCGCAAGUCUGGAGUGAAAUCCCAUGGCUUAACCAUGGAACUGCUGUGGAAACUGUGCAGCUAGAGUGCAGGAGAGGUAAGCGGAAUGCCUAGUGUAGCGGUGAAAUGCGUAGAUAUUAGGGGGAACACCAGUGGCGAAGGCGGCUUACUGGACUGUAACUGACGUUGAGGCUCGAAAGCGUGGGGAGCAAACAGGAUUAGAUACCCGGGUAGUC